RNAcentral lists this ribosomal RNA (124 nucleotides) under Deinococcus metallilatus. Its description in RNAcentral is "partial 23S ribosomal RNA". It matches the Rfam family "Bacterial large subunit ribosomal RNA", at positions 1 to 125 of the family's 2925-position model. Lineage: Bacteria; Thermotogati; Deinococcota; Deinococci; Deinococcales; Deinococcaceae. The record is from RNAcentral.
GGUCAAGAUAGCAAGGGUCCACGGUGGAUGCCCUGGCACUGGAGCCGAUGAAGGACGCGCUUACCUGCGAAAAGCCCCGACGAGCCGGAGAGCGGCGUUGACUCGGGGGUGUCCGAAUGGGGAA